Molecule: unclassified non-coding RNA, 242 nt
Filed under: Hevea brasiliensis (rubber tree)
Lineage: Eukaryota; Viridiplantae; Streptophyta; Magnoliopsida; Malpighiales; Euphorbiaceae
Source: RNAcentral
AUUAACAAGCUAAAAACUAGAAGAAAAAAAUGAAAUCUUGAAAAUACAUAAAGAUUGAAUUUUGAACCAACAGAAGUUCUAAAGAUCACACAUUUAACCUUUGCUUUGACAAAUGCCAAGGAUUUAUAGUACAAAAACACCACCAAGAUAGUAAUUUUAAGUGAAAAAGUAAGCAAAAAACUGUAUGAAACAGGAAAAGUGAAAAGAAAAAAAAUGAAAACCCUAGAUUUGAAAAGAGAGAA